AGAGUUUGAUCCUGGCUCAGGAUGAACGCUGGCGGCGUGCUUAACACAUGCAAGUCGAGCGAAGCACCUUGACGGAUUUCUUCGGAUUGAAGCCUUGGUGACUGAGCGGCGGACGGGUGAGUAACGCGUGGGUAACCUGCCUCAUACAGGGGGAUAACAGUUGGAAACGGCUGCUAAUACCGCAUAAGCGCACAGUACCGCAUGGUACGGUGUGAAAAACUCCGGUGGUAUGAGAUGGACCCGCGUCUGAUUAGGUAGUUGGUGGGGUAACGGCCUACCAAGCCGACGAUCAGUAGCCGACCUGAGAGGGUGACCGGCCACAUUGGGACUGAGACACGGCCCAAACUCCUACGGGAGGCAGCAGUGGGGAAUAUUGCACAAUGGGGGAAACCCUGAUGCAGCGACGCCGCGUGAGCGAUGAAGUAUUUCGGUAUGUAAAGCUCUAUCAGCAGGGAAGAAAAUGACGGUACCUGACUAAGAAGCCCCGGCUAACUACGUGCCAGCAGCCGCGGUAAUACGUAGGGGGCAAGCGUUAUCCGGAUUUACUGGGUGUAAAGGGAGCGUAGACGGCAUGGCAAGCCAGAUGUGAAAGCCCGGGGCUCAACCCCGGGACUGCAUUUGGAACUGUCAGGCUAGAGUGUCGGAGAGGAAAGCGGAAUUCCUAGUGUAGCGGUGAAAUGCGUAGAUAUUAGGAGGAACACCAGUGGCGAAGGCGGCUUUCUGGACGGUGACUGACGUUGAGGCUCGAAAGCGUGGGGAGCGAACAGGAUUAGAUACCCUGGUAGUCCACGCCGUAAACGAUG
Molecule: ribosomal RNA, 803 nt
Filed under: uncultured bacterium
Lineage: Bacteria
Description: bacterial SSU rRNA
Rfam family: Bacterial small subunit ribosomal RNA
Source: RNAcentral